UACGAAGGGUGCAAACGUUGCUCGGAAUUAUUGGGCGUAAAGCGCACGUAGGCGGCUCUGAAAGUUGGAUGUGAAAGCCCUCGGCUCAACCGAGGAAGUGCAUCCAAAACUGCAGAGCUUGAGUACUUAAGAGGAUCGCGGAAUUCCCGGUGUAGAGGUGAAAUUCGUAGAUAUCGGGAGGAACACCAGUGGCGAAGGCGGCGAUCUGGGAAGAUACUGACGCUGAGGUGCGAAAGCGUGGGGAGCAAACAGG
Molecule: ribosomal RNA, 253 nt
Filed under: uncultured bacterium
Lineage: Bacteria
Description: partial 16S ribosomal RNA
Rfam family: Bacterial small subunit ribosomal RNA
Source: RNAcentral